This is a non-coding RNA of Oryza barthii, 207 nucleotides long. The record is from Rfam. NCBI's taxonomy places the organism in Eukaryota, Viridiplantae, Streptophyta, Magnoliopsida, Poales, Poaceae.
AAUAAGUGCAGUUUUGCACUAUUCAUCUCCACGUUUGACCGUUCGUCUUAUUUGAAAUUUUUUUAUAAUUAUUAUUUUUAUUGUUAUUAGAUGAUAAAACAUGAAUAGUACUUUAUGUGUGGCUAAUUUUUUUAAAAAAAUUCAUAAAUUUUUUAAAUAAGACGGACGGUCAAAUGUUGGACACGUAUUUUCACGGCUGCAGUUAUU